GCUAAAUGCCUCAUUUUAUUGAUGAAAACAAAACGAGUCGAAAACAACUGAAUAAUAAAAGAUGUCACUAAUGGCCUGCGACCUUAUUACAUUUAAGAAAGCAGAAGAGUAAAAAUCCUAACUACUUGGCCCCAGAAGGACCUUCUUCAGGUUGAAUGUUCUCAUUGAUUAGACCUUCCAGCUCGCGCAGAUUUUCUAGUAAAAAUGCCUUUGCCAGGCGUUCUCCUUCGCUUCCCUCAACAUUUUGACAGUCAGUGGCUCUCCUCCUCACUUUCCCUUCCAAUUCCAGCAAGCUGUACUCCAGGUAUUCUAGUUUUUCACUAGCCUUGCUGACUCUCUCUUUCCAUUCGUUGAUUUGGUUGCUCGAAUGGAGGUUUCUCCACCAAGUCUGCAAGGGUGAAAGUAUGUUUACCAUACCGAAGUCAGGAACUUUGUCAUUCAUUUCCUGCAAAACAAAAAAGGGUUAAUACCUCACCCCACCGGACUCGACUAUUUAAAUCAAUAAUUAGCAAAAAAGGCAUUUAGUUCUCCAAAUAAAUGCACACAACGUGAAGGUGUCCGUUUGGGUUUUAGGAAACCCGAUGGACUUUGGUUUAGGCUAUCUUAAUGAGUUAUUAUGCGGACAACAUCACUGACUCGGCUAGGCUGACCAUGAUGCAUGAACAGUAUAAUAGAGUAAGGUUUCUAUUUUUGAAGUGCUAGACAAGGUACCCUUGAGCGGACAACUCAAGAGGGAAAGGCGCGGAACCGUCGACUACACAUUUGAUGGAAUGGUUUUACCGCAAAUAAGCCUUUGCCUAAUUUAAAGGGUGAUAAUAUUGGAAGAGCGCAACCACUCAUUAUAAGCGUUGCUAUAGGAUUUGUUUGGCACGAGUGGAAUGUGAUGCUGAGGAAUGCCGUUAUAAUAACAUAACAAAUUGCAUGUAUUUUCACGUUCAUAAAGUAAAUAUUACAAUAAAUGCUUGGAAAUAAAAACGGAAUUGAAAUAAUGGUAAAGCAGAAAAAGGGGAAAGCGGUUAGAGGAAAAGAAAACACGAAGAGUCAAGUUAGUACUCGUGAAGAAAUGAUUAAAAACAGGAAAUAUAGGCAAUAAAGGAAGCGAUAAAGUCAUGAAAGCACGUAAUGGUAAAAGCCUUAAGGAAAUUUCCAGCAGAGUCGCCAUGCUAUCGACGCCUCCCUUUUUCCCUCCCUGAAAGAAGGUGAAAUCGGGUUUACGACAUUAUGGACAAAACAACUCUUAUUCCCCUUUCGAGGAAUCGGGUUAUAGAAUUUGAAGAGUUGCCACCUAAUGAUUAUAGUGCAUUAGGACACUUUAAAGAAGAUAAGAUUUUGAAAGAUAAACCAGAGUUCGGGUAAGGGCUUGAGGUUAUCUCGAGGGGAAGGUGUUAGGCACCCCUCAAGGUCCACUAGUGUGGUUCCCGGCCGUGCUUAAUUAUGACUUUAAGAAGAGUAGGAAUAAAUAAACAAAGUUUGCACUUGACAAGUUGAAAAAUUUUGAAAGAAGAAAGACACAAGUGAUUUUGAAAGAAGAAAGCUUAGCUGAAGAAAACAUUAAUUUAAGAAAACGUCAAUAACUAAAGAAGGAAAAAAGGGGUCCUAGGUUUAAAUAUAAUAUGGAUCACUUCAAUGCAAUAUCCAGCAAUCACUCCUCAGAAGAGGGGUCGCACGUGAUAUUAGUGCACCGGUCAUCAUCUCCAUAUUCUACCCUUCCCACCCCGUCAAGGUAUUAAACGCAAUUAGUCUCGUUUACUUAUUACAUGCUAAUACCCGUCCUGACCUAUCAGUCCCAGGGUAUUAAGACUUCUAAUCCUAAGGGAAAGAAAGGGGUAGAGGCAUAUAUGGAGUUUCAAAAGGAUAAAAUACUAGGCGUCAAUCAAAACAAAUAGCAGAUAAGUGGGAAACAAAACAAAUACUCAAACGGCUCACACAAACCCCAUAAAUCACAUAACAAUUAGUUUAGCAUGUCUUACAAUUACUGAUUUGGUCUUAAGAUUAAAACUGACAGUGGACAGAUUAGUUUAACACAUAGAGUUGGAUAAUAAGACUACUUUGAGCCCCUCUGGUCCGGUUUGUUAGAAAUCAAAAGUAUUUUAGGCGAAUGAUUUAGAAAAUACUGAUUUCAGAAAAGGUAAUCAGAUGCAGAAGAAUUUAAAGGAAAGUGCAGAUUUCGAAAGCAUCAAACUGUUUGAGUGAAAAAGCAAAAGAGUUAUGCAAGAAUUUUGAAGGCAGGAGUAUGUUUGAGAAAAGGAUUUGGUUGCAGAAUUGAUUUAAAGGCAGUUACAAGGACUGAUUAAAAUGCUUAGGCAAAACUAUUUAAGAAAAAGUGUUCAUGGAAAAGAAUGCAGAUUUGUAGAGCUUGACAACACACAAGGUUUACAAAAGAGUUGUGUUGAAAACAUUAAAAAAAACGUUAAGAACCAAUUGACAGACUGCUGUUACUUAAACGGAUCAAGCGAGUUGCAAUUAAUCCUAUAGGCAUGACAUCUACGUUUCGAUUUUUAAAGGGGGUUGUUAAAGCAUUGGUAAAACAUGAGUGUAAUUAUCCUACAGUUUGCCUAACGCAUAUGCAGUUCUUAUAGACAUGAUUUCUAUCAUGCUUGCAAUACAAAAUCCUAUAGGCAUGAUUUCUAAAUGGUAUGCAAUAUUAAGGUCCUAUAGGCAUGAUUUCUAGAUGAUUCGCAAUAUUGAAGUCCUAUAGGCAUGAUUUCUACCCAUUGACUGAUGCAAACAACAUAAACCCCUCCCACACCUUUUUACUAACAUUCCCAAGUCUUUUACAAAGUUAUUACAAAAGUGGAAGGGGAAGACUAAAAAAAAUAAAUACAUCAAAACUAAAACGGACCCGAGGAAGCCCAAAGCAACCUUAGUGUCCAACACAUGUAUUUUACCAAAUCCGGGCUCUAGAUUCCAAGGCCUUCUCUUAGAGUGUUUCAAAGUUCCAAGGGCUUUCAGGAAGCCCAGGCAAUGCUUACACCCUAAAUAUUGAGUAGAGUAGUGCAAUGUGUGGAAUUACCAAUCCUUAGGCAUCCAAGUUCAUAGGGAACUCUAGGGUCCCUAAGCAUGGCUUACCAUAGGGCGGUAGGACUUAAAGAACUAAGAGUAAGUGUAAAAGUGAGAGGAUUAGAGGAGACCAAAGCAAAGGGUGGUCAUACCUAGCCAUGGAUGGGACUGGUACACCCCUAAUCCUUUACUUGGUUCAAGAAAAUAAGAGAGCAGACUUUAGAAAGUCAAACUUAGGCCUGUAUGGUGAUUAGGACACCACCAGACUUGAGUCAAGCUCAACACAUAACAUGGGUUAAGGGAAUGGGAGUGAUUUGAGUAUAGGUUUAGAGCAACCUAGUUCUAAACUAGGGAUGGCAAUAGAGUGCCACCCUAGUCUAAAACAAUACAUACACACAAAGGGGUCAGGGAAAGGGAAUCACAUGAAAGAAAACAUCAAGGAGAGAUAAGAAAACAUAACAGCAGCAACAUGCGGAAAGGUAUAACAGACUAGUGUAUGGUUAUUUAGUACCAGAAAACAUGCAGUGGAGGGGGUCAUGUAGAGGGGAGAAAUGAACACAUAGUUUUAGAGAACACUAUUUAAAUGGUGGAGGCCUACAAGUUGCAGGUGUCAAACAACAGAACAAGCAAAUAGAGUUCUAUACUUUAGGCUUGGCUUUCAGCCGGCUAAGCGCAAGCAGCAGCACAAGUAGCAGAAAAGAGAAGAGAGAGCUUAGUGUGUGUGUGUUGAACUGAGAUUGUUCGUGCCUUUGAAGUAAAAGGGGUGGGGGGUUUUUAUUGUUUGAAAGUAAGUAGUAAAUAAGGCAGGAAAAUAACCUUAGUAUCAAAUCACAAUCAAUUAGGGGAAGGAUUACCUUUAAUUAAGGAGUCGGACUUAAGGUAAAUAAACAGAGUUCCUUUUAUGGAAAGAAAAAUCAAGAAUAAGUUGCAAAAUAAAGGGUAAAUACAUAUAGAGUUUUUGAGAGAUAUACGAUUUUAAGCAAAUAAGGCAAGAAGAAUCACCAAUCACAUAGUAAAUUAAGGAAAUAAGGAUUCGAAUUGGUAUUGAAUUUAGUCAGAAAGUAGGUCCAAAUCAGUCAAAGGGAAAAUCGAAAUAGGCUCAUAGGAAAUCAACCCCCAAAAUUAGGGUUAUUUGAAAGGGAAAAUAUGACUAUAAAAGAGAUGCACAUAUUCAGACAUGCGAGGCUAGGAUUAGCAGAAUAGUCAUGUAAUCAGAGAGCAGAAGAACAUAAGCAUGAAAUGGAAUUAGAAGUUCUCGCAGAGCUUAGCAGGAAAUCAGAAGCACGAAAGGAGUUUAGACAGUUAGGGUUUUGAAAUUAAACAGGCAGCAUACAAUCACACACAAAACUCGAAAACCCCCAAAAUCUAGGGUUUUCAUCACAUUUUGAAUGUAAAGAAGAAAGCACAGGCGAAGAUGAACUCAGAAAGAACAUAAACAUUCACGAAAAGCAUAAGGAAGGCAGAGAACACAAUAAAGAAACUACUCGGAAACCCUAGAAACAACACGGUAAAGAAAAUGCAUAAAAAUCAUAGUAGAAAUACUUAGCAAAAGUAGAAGAAAUCACAAUAGAGCAAAUAAACAGAAAAUCGGAGAAACCCUAAGUUUUAAGAAGAUGAACAUUUCGAAAACAAAAUCGGCAAAAAAUGUGGAAAACACUUUGAAAUCUUAGAAAAUAACAUAGAUAUGAAGUAGAUCUUAAAGAGAAACAAAGAAGAAAAAACCUCAGAGACUUAGGGUUUCAGAGAAAACCCUAGAGAACGAGAAAGGCCUGGAACGGACUGGUCUUGAGUCGAAGACGGACUCAGAAAGCUAAGAUUCGCCGGAGAGAGACCGAAAAUGACCAUAGAACUCAAGUCGGAGGACCUCUGAGCCGGUGGUCUUCAAGAUCGAAUUUCGAUCUUUGAACAAAAGGGUCAUAGAAGGGAGUGGGGGUGAGUAUAGGUUGCACGAAGCUUGGGAGGCCAUGGUUUCCGGUGAAACAAGGUCGGAAAAUGGUCGGAGAAGGGCUAGGGUUUUAGGGGUGGUUGAGAGCAUUUGGGA
RNAcentral lists this long non-coding RNA (5041 nucleotides) under Nicotiana tabacum (common tobacco). RNAcentral's name for it is "long non-coding RNA (NTAB_LNC014229)". Lineage: Eukaryota; Viridiplantae; Streptophyta; Magnoliopsida; Solanales; Solanaceae. The record is from RNAcentral.